RNAcentral lists this ribosomal RNA (449 nucleotides) under uncultured bacterium. Its description in RNAcentral is "bacterial SSU rRNA". It matches the Rfam family "Bacterial small subunit ribosomal RNA", at positions 329 to 795 of the family's 1533-position model. The record is from RNAcentral.
GACCAGACUCCUACGGGAGGCAGCAGUGGGGAAUAUUGCACAAUGGGGGAAACCCUGAUGCAGCGACGCCGCGUGAGCGAUGAAGUAUUUCGGUAUGUAAAGCUCUAUCAGCAGGGAAGAAGAUGACGGUACCUGACUAAGAAGCCCCGGCUAACUACGUGCCAGCAGCCGCGGUAAUACGUAGGGGGCAAGCGUUAUCCGGAUUUACUGGGUGUAAAGGGAGCGUAGACGGCGAUGCAAGCCAGAUGUGAAAGCCCGGGGCUCAACCCCGGGACUGCAUUUGGAACUGUGUGGCUGGAGUGUCGGAGAGGCAGGCGGAAUUCCUAGUGUAGCGGUGAAAUGCGUAGAUAUUAGGAGGAACACCAGUGGCGAAGGCGGCCUGCUGGACGAUGACUGACGUUGAGGCUCGAAAGCGUGGGGAGCAAACAGGAUUAGAUACCCCAGUAGGG